GAUGAACGCUGGCUACAGGCUUAACACAUGCAAGUCGAGGGGAAACGGCAUUGGGUGCUUGCACCGAAUGGACGUCGACCGGCGCACGGGUGAGUAACGCGUAUCCAACCUUCCCGUUACUGCGGGAUAACCUGCCGAAAGGCAGACUAAUACCGCAUGUUCUUCGAUGACGGCAUCAGAUUCGAAGCAAAGAUCCGUCGGUAACGGAGGGGGAUGCGUCUGAUUAGCUUGUUGGCGGGGCGACGGCCCACCAAGGCGACGAUCAGUAGGGGUUCUGAGAGGAAGGUCCCCCACAUUGGAACUGAGACACGGUCCAAACUCCUACGGGAGGCAGCAGUGAGGAAUAUUGGUCAAUGGGCGGAAGCCUGAACCAGCCAAGUAGCGUGCAGGAUGACGGCCCUACGGGUUGUAAACUGCUUUUAUGCGGGGAUAAAGUGAGGGACGCGUCCCUUUUUGCAGGUAC
RNAcentral lists this ribosomal RNA (463 nucleotides) under Prevotella sp. oral taxon G57. RNAcentral's name for it is "bacterial SSU rRNA". It matches the Rfam family "Bacterial small subunit ribosomal RNA", at positions 28 to 478 of the family's 1533-position model. Lineage: Bacteria; Pseudomonadati; Bacteroidota; Bacteroidia; Bacteroidales; Prevotellaceae. The record is from RNAcentral.